CCUUAGGUAGUAAUAGUUAUGUUCUUGAAACUUAAAAAAUUUGGCGGUAUUUUAGUCUAUUCAGAGGAACCUGUUUUAUAAUCGAUAAUCCACGAUGGACCUUACUUAAGUUUGUAAUCAGCUUAUAUAUCGUCGUUAUUAGAAUAUUUUAUUAGAAAGUUAAUUUUCAAAAUUUUAUAAAAGAAAAUAUAUCAGAUCAAGGUGUAGCUUAUGUUUAAGUAAAAAUGGGUUACAAUAAAAAUAUUUAUAUGAAUAUAAAUUUGAAAUAUUUAUUGAAGGUGGAUUUGAUAGUAAAAUUAUAAAGAUUAAUAAUUUGAUUUUAGCUCUAAAAUAUGC
RNAcentral lists this ribosomal RNA (336 nucleotides) under Tachina canariensis. RNAcentral describes it as "partial 12S ribosomal RNA". Lineage: Eukaryota; Metazoa; Arthropoda; Insecta; Diptera; Tachinidae. The record is from RNAcentral.